CCCCAGCACGGUGGGCGGCUGCUACUUUGCUUGGUGUCUCUGUCUUCCAUAAGCAAUCUUCCCACCCGAAGACUCCCUGGUUUACACAUUGUGGUUGGAAGUGCAAGGCUGGGGCAAGUUCUGCGGAGUUUUGGAAGUCAUCACAGGGGCACGGUCCCAGCACGUGUACUCAUGGGGACACUAUGCUUCCCACACAAGAAUACCUCCAGCCAUUCCGAUACUUGAGCCGACAUCCUACAACCUAUACUGGAAGACCAGGUCUGAAACAGGUGCAGUGACCCAAGGACUUGGGUCAUCUUCUACUGCUUUCCCAGGCCACAGCAGAGAGCUGGAUCGGAAGAGGAGCAGCCGGGUCUUGAACCGGCACCCAUAUGGAAUGCUGGCGCCACAGGUGGAGGAUUAACCUACUCCGCCAUGGAGCUGGCCCAAUGCUUAUUUGUUUUCAUGUACUGUCGCUCCCCGUCUUCGUGGAGGAACGACACAGGACCCUGCGCUGUUCUUUUGUCUGCUCGGCCCUCCCCGGGUUUGCUGCUGGUUCUUCCCGGGUUGGUUACCGACCCUUCCACCUCCUUGGAAGGGCGGUUCCCCCUAGCCACUUUCCCCACUUCCGCAGGGGAGUGGCACACCGCCGGCCGGCUCUCUCGGGGGCUGCACAGGUGUUCCUUCAGAUAGAUGUUCCUGGUGCAUGUUGUCUCUCUCCUCCUUUAUAGUCCUUUUCCACCAAUCCCAACUCUGCUACCCACACGCUGAGUACGCUGCUCUCCUCCAAUCAGGAGCAGGUCCUACAGUUUAUUGGUUGAACUGGAGGCAGCUAUGUAGAAGCUGUUUCUCCCUUCUCAGCGCCAUAUUGUGGGAGAGCAGAUGCAUAGAAUAAGUCUUAAUUCCAGUAACUUAGUCUAGUCCGGGUUGCUCCCCACAAUGUACUUGAAAGGCAGAGUGACAGACCACGAAAGAAAAAGAUCUGCCAUCCACGGGUUCACUCCUCAAAUACCUGCAGCAGCCAGGAACCAGGAGCUCCCUCGGGGUCUCCGAGGUGGAUGGCAGGGGCCCAAGUACUUGGCCAUCCUGUGCUGCUUCCCAGGAUGCACUAGCAGGGGCUGGGAAGAAGUCAGAACUUGAAUUAGCACUCCGAGUUGAGCGUCCCAAGUGGCGGCCUGAUCCGCUGUCACAACACUGCUCCAUGGCCCCUCUUGAACCAGUUUGUUGUUCUGUCCUCAUUUCCUUACUCUGAGCCUGGACGGGAACAGCCUGUACUGCGCUCGAGGUUUCAUCAGCUGCUCUGGGUCUCCUGACUUCCUCCUCCGGACAGUGGAUGCAGCCGGAUCAGAGAGAACCUUGUGAUGCCUUGCAGGUCUAUACUAAUGGCUGCAAACGCAGAUGCCUGCAGGGAACUCACAGUCUUCCCUAAGACGAUAGGACUGAGGCCAGUGUAUGAAUCCAGGUCAUUCUGACUCAAGUCUCAGAACUUAAAAAUUCCUUUUGCUCCUGGUUUCAUUAUCUUCCCUUGCUUUUAUUGGAACCGCCAACAAGUGGCAAGUAACUAUUACCUUCUUGUUACUGUACUUCUAGUUUACUCACUCUGCAUUCUUGUUGAGGACCUGUUCUGUACUAGGCAUUACAAAGUAAAGACCCUUUAGUUAGUUAUGAAGUAAGCUAGCCCGGAUGGGUGCCAGCUGCAUCGCCUGUUGUCAAGCGUUGUUUCAUGUUGUUUCAGUGUUGUCAUGUGUGUAUGCUCCACAUGUGUCCACACCAAGUGGUCCUGCCCAUGGGCAUGCCCACCCGCAGCAUCUGCUCUGUUCCACGUCACGCCAACACGCGCUCACUAUUAGGGUUUUUAAUUUGUGACAGUCUGGUGGAGUGAAAUGAUCUAUCACCUUGGCUUUGAUUUACAUUUCCCUGCUACCACUUGAGGCUGAGAAAUUGUUCCUGUUUCUUGGCCUGCCUGGAUCACUUCCAAAAAGGAUCAGUUGUUGUCCCAACUGUACAGGCUUGUCUCUGGUAGUGAACUCCUCUUUCUAACUCCAGAAGACUCUCUAGCUGAGAAGUGAGUCCUGCCAGCUUAUGCGGUCUACACAGUGAAUAGAACUCAGGUCAGGUUGACUGCAAUUCACAAAGGCGGCUGGCGCUACGGCUCAAUAGGUUAAUCUUCCGCCUGCGGUGCCGGCACCCCGGGUUCUAGUCCCAGUCAGGGUGCCGGAUUCUGUCCCGGUUGCCCUUCUUCUAGGCCAGGAAGAGGCCCUGGAGGGCAGUGGAGGAUGGCCCAGGUGCUUGGGCCCUGCACCCACGUGGGAGACCAGGAGAAGCACCUGGCGCCAGUGUGGUGUGCUGGCCGCAGCGCGCCAGCCGUAGCGGCCAUUGGAGGGUAAACCAACAGCAAAGGAAGACCUUUCUCUCUGUUUCUCUGUUUCUCUCUCUCACUGUUCACUCUGCCUGUCCAAAAAAAAAAAAAAAAAAAUCACAAAGGCACAGAAAGGCCCGGAAUAACCCCUUGAUCAGACAAUCCCAGGCAAGGUGGUUUCAGUGUAACUGAACUCUGGCAUAUCUACCAGCACCUUUGAGAAUCUUCAUUAUUAAACACUAUUACAGCACACCAAUUUCUCUGGUAAGAUAAUUUGUGAAGCAAGCAGAGAAAAAUAAAGCUUGGUUGAGGAACCGGUGCUAACAACUC
This is a non-coding RNA of Oryctolagus cuniculus (rabbit), 2668 nucleotides long. NCBI's taxonomy places the organism in Eukaryota, Metazoa, Chordata, Mammalia, Lagomorpha, Leporidae. The record is from RefSeq and is a predicted model, not a curated record.